CAGCGCCACGAGUGGUAACCGCGAUUAUUGGGCCUAAAGCGUCCGUAGCCGGUCCUGUAAAUCUUUUGUGAAAUUGUACAGCUUAACUGUACAGCGUGCAAGAGACACUGCAGGACUCGAGACCGGGAGGAGUCAGAAGUAUUCCAGGGGGAGCGGUAAAAUGUUAUAAUCCCUGGAGGACUACCUGUGGCGAAGGCGUCUGACCAGAACGGAUCUGACGGUGAGGGACGAAAGCUAGGGGAGCGAACCGGAUUAGAUACCCGAGUAGUCC
Molecule: ribosomal RNA, 271 nt
Filed under: uncultured archaeon
Lineage: Archaea
Description: partial 16S ribosomal RNA
Rfam family: Archaeal small subunit ribosomal RNA
Source: RNAcentral